GACGAACGCUGGCGGCGUGCUUAACACAUGCAAGUCGAACGAUGAAGCCCAGCUUGCUGGGUGGAUUAGUGGCGAACGGGUGAGUAACACGUGAGUAACCUGCCCCUGACUCUGGGAUAAGCGUUGGAAACGACGUCUAAUACUGGAUAUGACUACUGGUCGCAUGGCCUGGUGGUGGAAAGAUUUUUUGGUUGGGGAUGGACUCGCGGCCUAUCAGCUUGUUGGUGAGGUAAUGGCUCACCAAGGCGACGACGGGUAGCCGGCCUGAGAGGGUGACCGGCCAAGCUGGGACUGAGAAACGGCCCAGACUCCUACGGGAGGAAGCAGUGGGGAAUAUUGCACAAUGGGCGAAAGCCUGAUGCAGCAACGCCGCGUGAGGGAUGACGGCCUUCGGGUUGUAAACCUCUUUUAGUAGGGAAGAAGCGAAAGUGACGGUACCUGCAGAAAAAGCACCGGCUAACUACGUGCCAGCAGCCGCGGUAA
Molecule: ribosomal RNA, 483 nt
Filed under: uncultured bacterium
Lineage: Bacteria
Description: partial 16S ribosomal RNA
Rfam family: Bacterial small subunit ribosomal RNA
Source: RNAcentral